UAAUUAAAUUUCCAAGAAUUCAGCACUUCAACCGGCGCCACAAAUCAACAGUUCCGUGGCAACCUCCGGCUCAUUCGUGGAUCGUUUCUUUAGUGCUCAUUUUUUCCUUGACUCUUGGACACUUUGCACGGUUCCCAGACUGCAAUUUUAGCUUUCAAUUUUCUUUCUUCUUCACAGUCACAAAAGCUUAGAAACUCCUUAAUCAUGGCUCGACUUGUAACUUUGAAAGCGGACAAAAGUUUAUGGGAUGAAAGCCACUACAAAACACACCACCAAGCUUCAACUUUUAACUCCUAUCUUAAGCAGUAUUAUCCCUUGAAUGUUCUACCUUUUAAGCACACGCAGCAUAACCUCAAAUUCAAAGUUACUUGCAGAGUCAGGGACAAAGAAAUAGAAAAUUUAGUAGAAGCCCAGAAAAAAGUAAACAGGUUUCGAGCAAUUGAGGAAUUGGACCAGAAGGAGGGACUUGUGAAGACUUUGGAGGAUGAAUUUGGAGAAGGAAAAGGGGAUAAAAGUGUGCGUUUUGAAUGGAAUUGGCCGCCAUUGAAGAAUAUACCUCAGAGAUAUAAGCUCAUCGGAACAACUUCUCUUGCCUUUGUUAUUUGUAACAUGGAUAAGGUGAACUUGAGUGUUGCUAUAAUACCAAUGUCUCAUCAGUUUGGGUGGAAUUCAUCAACUGCUGGACUGGUUCAAUCAUCAUUCUUUUGGGGCUAUGCUUUGAGUCAGUUGCCUGGUGGAUGGCUGGCAAAGAUUUUUGGUGGAAGAAAGGUACUUGAGGUUGGUGUUCUGGCCUGGUCAUUGGCCACAGCUCUAGUUCCUUUUCUUGCUGGGUACAUGCCUGGACUGGUUGCUUCCAGGAUUUUGGUUGGUAUGGGAGAAGGUGUUUCACCAUCAGCUGCUACCGAUCUGAUUGCCAGGUCAAUACCACUGGAAGAACGCUCACGGGCAGUAUCAUUUGUUUUUGGAGGCUUGAGUUUUGGAAGUGUUAUGGGGCUUCUUUUGGCUCCUCCAUUAAUCCAAAGUUAUGGAUGGGAGUCUGUGUUUAUCAUAUUUGGCUUCCUUGGCAUAGCCUGGUUCUUGGCAUUUCAGUUUGUUAAGGAUGAUGAACCUUCAGCAGGUGGUGCAUCAACAUCAGGGCAUCUAUUCUUUUCCGAAAAGAAUUCAUGGAUUGGGUCCUUGGAAGAAUUGGAAGGAUCACUGAAGGAUGUCCCUUGGAAGGCCUUUUUCAAGAGUAAAGCUGUGUGGGCCAUGAUAUAUGCUCACUUUUGUGGAAGUUGGGGUCACUAUACUUGUUUAUCCUGGCUUCCAACUUAUUUCAGUGAGGAGCUCAGUCUUAAUCUGACAGAAGCUGCAUGGGUUUCAGUCCUUCCUCCAUUAGCUUCAAUUUUUGUCACCAGCAUAGCUGCUCAACUGGCUGACUACUUAAUUACCAAAGGGGUUGACACCACCAGGGUGCGCAAAACUUGCCAAGCAAUUUCUUUCCUCUCUCCCGCUUCUUGUAUGAUUCUUUCCUCUUUGGAUUUGGGAUUGCCUCCAUGGGAGGUUGUAACAAUUCUCACUGGAGGUUUAGCGCUUUCAAGUUUUGCAUUAUCAGGUUUAUACUGUACCCAUCAAGAUAUUUCACCCGAGUAUGCAAGCAUACUUUUGAUAUGAUUUUCCAAACCCAGGGUAUCACAAACACAGUUGGGGCAGUACCUGGAAUUGUUGGUGUUGCUUUGACGGGUUAUCUACUUGAUUCCACUCACUCAUGGAGUUUGUCAUUGUUUGCUCCAUCGAUAUUCUUCUACCUUACGGGUACAGUUGUAUGGUUAACAUUUGCGAGCAGCAAACCACAAACUUUCUCAAAGAGAGAUUGACUCUUAUCACUCAGUGCUAGAGGUGAUCGGUAACUCUUGAUUACUGACAUCACAUUAACAAUUUUGGGAGGACGAUUUAUGCUGACAAUAACAUUUUCUGCUGGACAAACAUAAUUAUAGGCCUCUCAGAUUUUCCUUUCAAGGUUGAUAUAUUUUGUAAACAUAUAGUACCAGUAAAUCUUGUACAUGUCCUUCGCUAUAAUUAGUUGUGUUUUGCAUCUACAAGUUCCUUAUUCUAUUGAAACUUAUUCUGCUCUA
Molecule: RNA transcript, 2114 nt
Organism: Coffea arabica (coffee)
Lineage: Eukaryota; Viridiplantae; Streptophyta; Magnoliopsida; Gentianales; Rubiaceae
Gene name: probable anion transporter 6, chloroplastic
Source: RefSeq, a predicted model, not a curated record